GCUUACACUCGCCACAAGCCACAUCGGAGUCACAUCAGUACAUUACAUAAUCAUCAAGAGUAAGAGCAGGGUCCGACUACGGACGAAAACAAACGACAAAAGAAGAACGACGUCCAUCCUUGCUAUCCCAGGCUGCCGGCCUGGAACCCAUCCUAGAUCGAUGAUGAAGAAGAAGAAGAAGCAACUCCAAAUGAACAAUCAACGCGCUCGCGUCACGUAACCUUUACCUGUACCUGCAACUGGGGUUGUAGUAAUCUGUGAGCCACAGGGGACUCAGCAAUCUCAUUUACAAAGGUAUCAAGACUAGCAAAGCUUUAUGGGUGAGGUAAGGUUAAGUGGUGAGGUUGCAGCAGCGGCUAAGCAUAUAUUUGGUGGCUAACUUGCGAGUACAAGAAGUAAGAGGGGGAAGAUCUACGCAUAACUGACGUGAACUACUGAUGAUCAAAUGAAUGAUCCUGAACACCUACCUACGUCAGACAUAACCCCACCGUGUCCUCGAUCGGAGUAAGAACUCACGAAAGAGACAGUCACGGUUACGCACACAGUUGGCAUGUUUUAAUUAAGUUAGCUUUAAGUUAUCUAGAACCAGUGUUAAACAAAGCUUCCACGUUGCCACAUAACCGCGGGCACGGCUUUUCGAAAGAUUUAACCCUGCAGGGGUGCUCCAACUAGUCCAUCACAAAUUACCACAAGCCGCAAAGAAAUCCUCAAUCACGAAGCUCGCGAUCUCGUCGGAUUCCCUAGUGGAAAACCUCAACUCUGAGAUUACCCAAAGCAUCACCGGAAUCCCGAUGCACAAGAUAUUCCGUCAAAGGUAAAACUAAUCCAGCAAGGCCGCCCGGCGUGUCGAUGAUCCCGAUAGGAGCCGCGUAUCUCGUUCUCAGGACACGACGGAUAAGCACAUCGUACGGUGGCCUGAUAGAAAUCUCCCGAGUUGCCCCGGGUUGGCCCCGCAAACGGCUCUAGUUUUGGACCAGCACCAACAGCACUGCCCCCCUGUAUUAUGUAGAAUUACUCCUCGGGUAGCGCUAACUCCCUAUGCAUUUCAAUAUUAUCAAGUUAUUAUGUUGGGCAAAUAGUACCAAUGUUGGGCCUUGCCAGACCAGCCUUAAUCUAAAACGAAUUAUCAAGGGGGUCCCCAUAACAACCCCGAUUGUGUUAGGAGCGCUCGUUUAUGGAACAUAACACCGGUAGCCGAAAACUAAGGGGGCAAAGGUGGAACAAAACACCAGGCUAGAAAGGCCGAGCCUUCCACCUUUUACCAAGUAUAUAGGUGCAUUAAAUAAAAUAGCAUUAAUAUGGUGAUAUAACACGGAACCCAUGUUUUCACAUGGAAGCAACUGCACCUGCAACUAGCAACGCUACACAGGGUUAAGCAAGCAGUAACAUGGCCAAUCAGUGGUUUGCUAGGUUGAACAGGUUGAAGGUUUCAUGGCAUUGUUGAGAGGCUAAAUUAAACAGGUGGUAGGCAACGAGACAUCAUCGAUAGAAGCGAUAGAACUAGCAUGGCAAUGAUAGUAAUGGUAUCUGGGGAAAUGAUCAUCUUGCCUGAGAUCCCGCUUGGAAGAAGAAUGCCUCCGUGAAGCAGACGAACCGACGUAGUCGAACGGGUCCUCACAUCCGACACGCUUGCGGA
This 1636-nucleotide long non-coding RNA is filed under the name Hordeum vulgare. Its description in RNAcentral is "long non-coding RNA (HVUL_LNC019083)". Lineage: Eukaryota; Viridiplantae; Streptophyta; Magnoliopsida; Poales; Poaceae. The record is from RNAcentral.